This is a long non-coding RNA of Gorilla gorilla gorilla (western lowland gorilla), 862 nucleotides long. RefSeq lists it as uncharacterized. The transcript has 4 exons. NCBI's taxonomy places the organism in Eukaryota, Metazoa, Chordata, Mammalia, Primates, Hominidae. The record is from RefSeq and is a predicted model, not a curated record.
AGAAUCAUAAAACAGAUAUGAACAUGAAUCUUAAUGAGAAUAGAUUAAAAAGAGAGAGAGGCACACAUCUAAGUGAUUAUCUGGAGAGAGCCUUAAACAACAACAAAACCCUAAAAUCAAGGCCCCGGCAGAAGUAUGUUGGCCGGGUCCAGUGGCUCACACCUGUAAUCCCAAUCCCAGUGCAAGGCGGGCGGAUCACAAAGUCAGGAAAUCGAGACCGUAUUGGCUAACAUGCUAUGUGUCAGAGAAUCUGUAUUCCCUAUGGAUUAAAGGAGAAGAUCAUAUUUUGGCUAAACAUAUUUGUAAAAGAAUAUGAGUAAACUGGAAGAAAAAAUAAAAAGCUUAGUGAGAAAAUGAAACAAAAAUUCUGAAAAGCAUCUGAUUUAAUUGGAAAGCGAAAAUAAAUGACAACUCAGGACCAACCAGAGAAAGCCAAAUAUGUUCUCCAAAUCAGUAAUGUGGGGAGCUUCAUUUCUUGCUAGUCCACUUCCAUCUUCGCCAAGUGAACACCCUCCAUUCAGAGCCUACCUAAAGCCUUCCCUUUGUUUCACUGGAAAUCUUUUCUACUCCCCUGCUUGUCUUGAAUUUCUGCCAAAUGUAAGUGAUGGUGGGUAACUCCGUUGAUAUAGCAAGCUCUGGAAAAAUUGUCUGUAUUUGUUUGUAUUUGGUUUGUCUAUGUUUAUUUCUACAUCUAAAGUCCUCACAAAUUUAUAUUCCUUUGUAAUUGACUAUAAUCCAUUGUCAAAUUACAACUGUGAUAUUAUUGUUCUUAUAACUUCGUGUUGAACUCAGUGCUAGAGUCACUUCAUAAUUAGUAUUCUUUUAUUUUAAUUGAAGCUUCAAGUAAGCAUAUUAAUAAUCU